This 121-nucleotide small nucleolar RNA is filed under the name Castor canadensis (American beaver). Its description in RNAcentral is "Small nucleolar RNA SNORA40 (ENSCCNG00000015087.1)". It matches the Rfam family "Small nucleolar RNA SNORA40". Rfam says of the family: The snoRNA ACA 40 belongs to the H/ACA family of snoRNAs and guides the pseudouridylation of 28S rRNA subunit at position U4565. NB This family has a high threshold value to exclude a large number of closely related sequences that do not appear to have conserved H and ACA boxes, and may be pseudogenes. The record is from Rfam by way of RNAcentral. Lineage: Eukaryota; Metazoa; Chordata; Mammalia; Rodentia; Castoridae.
AACACUUGGGUGUGUUUUUGUUUAACUUCUGGACAAAGACUCAGGUGCAAAAAAUAAAUCCUCUUAGCAACCCAGAACUCGUGGUUCAGUGUGAGUUUUGAUACACACAAGAAGGUAUAAG